This is a long non-coding RNA of Cervus elaphus (red deer), 2044 nucleotides long. RefSeq lists it as uncharacterized. The transcript has 5 exons. The record is from RefSeq and is a predicted model, not a curated record. NCBI's taxonomy places the organism in Eukaryota, Metazoa, Chordata, Mammalia, Artiodactyla, Cervidae.
UGCUACUUUCUGUCCGAGAGCAGGUCUCUGAUGGGGCAGCUGGAAGGGUGGGUCAUGGGCCUGGACCAGGGCUUUCUGGUACCUGCUUGGCGCCAAGGCCACUUAUUCGCCCGUCAUGAGGCAUCUGUCAGCCAAGGAGGCCAGGAGAUGAUGCUGGAGAUGCUGAAAGAGAGACCAUGGGUCAUCCUGACUGCAGAUCUUCCCAGGAGCCCCUCUGCUAAGGGAUCACUGGCUGAGCUUCCUAUUGCCCAAGUUCUGAAAAAAAAUUUUUGUUUUGGCAUCUUCUCCAUUUUUUUGGUUAAGGUAAGAAGGUAUUUCCAGUCCCUGGUACUGUCUCAUCGUUGGAAGUGGAGACCUUAAAGACUCCCAACACAAAAUGCCAGGUGGAUAUCCACUCCACCAGAGAGGGACCUUUGAACUUCAGGUGCCCAGAACAGUCUUGGCCCAAAGUCAAAGCUCAAGAAAAUGUUUGCUGAAAAAAUAAAUACACCAAAGAAGAGCCAGGAGGAGAGGCGACUGGGUGAAGUUUCAACUUAUCAAAUCAUUCCAUUGGCAAUCGUGAGGUUCCAGGAGCAGCACGGGAGAGAUCCCUCAAUGUACAAUCACUUUUAAAGACUGCUUGUGUCAUGAUUGCCAAUGUCCUAUUGGUGAAAGCAAGCCACAAGACCAAGUUCAGAUGAAAGGAAGUGAAAGAGAAUAAUUUGUGGCCACACGUGCUGAUUUCCAUUUUUGAAUUACAGGGUAUCUUACAGGCCAUGUUUUUAAGUCUCACUUCUAGUUACCUUCUAUGACAAUAUUGACAUACAGUCUUUGUAAAUUAGGUCAUGGGAUAGACUCUCAAAAUCCAAUUUUUAAGUUUCUGGGAGAUUGUAAUUUUUUGGAUAAAAUUUUCCUCCUAGAGUAUAAUCUUAGAUGGACACAUACAUUUUUUUAAAAGCCAUUUCUAGUCUCCCAAUUUAUGAUGGAAAUAUUUUUCAGUCUUCCAACAUGCUAUUAAAAAGAAAUCUAAAAUGUCAGUUUAUCUACCCCAUUAUUUUCUGCAUAGCUCUAAGAGGCAAUGAUGGUUUCACCCUUUAUAUUUUUAGAGCCAUUAUAUGGUUUGUACAUGAGUCAUGACCUUUUGGGAUUUCAAACCCCUUUGACUUCUGUAACACCUGUGGAGUAGUCAGAUGUGGGUUAUUUGUCCCAACCCAAGAACCUGAUUCCAUCUACUUGGGGGGAUCAGUUGGAUGAUCCCUGGAGCAGGUGAUAUGUAAGCUGGCCCUUAAAGGAUGAGUAUGGUCAGCCUGAUGAAAGGCAUGGGCAUACUAUGAAGCAUUUUCUAGGCAAGAGGAAUUGGUGGUGAUCAACAUGAGAACUGAACGUGAGUUUUUAUGACUGGAGGGGAGAGAGAAAGAGAGAGGGGGGGGGAGUAUAUGUGUGUGUGUGUGUGUGUGUGUGUGUGUGUGUGUGUAGUGGGAGAAAGGGGAGGGGAAAAGAUGGAUCCUUCCUUCAGCUGGGCCUACCACAACCUGAAUUCACCUGGAGGGAAUCAUUAACAUGUGUGAAUAAAUCUUGAAGAAGAGGCCAUCUUGCUAACCAGAGGCCAAAAUUCGUGGCCAUCUGGUGCUUUCCUCCAGCUGGGGCAGGUGAGCACAUCUGAAAGGAUUGGAGGGGUGUGAAAAGAGCCUUUUGCUUGAUCGGUGAAGGCAGGUUGUGAAAAUGCCACUUCCAUACCAGUCAACUCUAUAAAUCUGAGUGCCUGGAAAAGUUGUAUUUCCUCUGAGGAAUUGCUGCACUUUUGUUGGGUUGGUUUAUUUUAAUCUGAUGGAUGCCACGCAUGGUUAGACUGUAACUGAAUGAAGGUCUCUUUUUUCUUUGGCUGCUAGGAAGCUCAAGGAUGACUAUUUCUCUAACAUUUUAAUAAGUAAAAACACUUUAUUGAUUUUAUAAAUAAAAAUAUAAUAAUUUAAAAAUUUAAUCAAUACAGGGAUGUAUGAAAUAGUAUUUAAAAAUCACUACAACUAUUACCAUGAGAUGAAAAAUAUUCCAAAUAUCAUACUAU